This 562-nucleotide long non-coding RNA is filed under the name Gossypium barbadense (sea-island cotton). RNAcentral's name for it is "long non-coding RNA (GBAR_LNC003688)". Lineage: Eukaryota; Viridiplantae; Streptophyta; Magnoliopsida; Malvales; Malvaceae. The record is from RNAcentral.
GCACAUUGGACAGUGAAAUAAGAAGAAAACUAACGAAAAAACAGAGGAUCAGAGGUGAAAAAGAGAGAGAGAUAAAAUCAUUAAACGCUUAAAGCAAUGAUGAAUCUCCUCGUUAAAAAAAAAGAGCUUUAAAACAACAAAUCCCAAUUCCUCUUUAGCUUUUCAGGUAACAAAAAGCUCAAAGUCGCUGCCAAGAGAGAGAAAGAGAAAGGCCCCAUAAACGAAAGGUAAAAUGAUAGAAAUUUUUUAAUUGUUUUUUUUAUUUAAUUGCUGUAGGUCAUUUAUUUAUUUAUUUUUCCUUUUCCUUUUGUUGUUUUCGGUUUUUGUUCUGCAUGAAGUGAUUGAGUCAAAGUGAGAGGGCAGAGAGUUACGCGAGGGAAUUGUUUGUAUUAGGGUUUAUGGAAAGUUAAGUCCUCUUUACUUGAUCGGACGGUCGAAAAUAAAAGAUUUUAGGAACAAUUGUCAAUUCAGCUGAUCAGACCAGAAAGACCGGGGGUGGAGAAGGUCAUGUACGGUGGUCCCUACUUUACAGAGUGUAUUAUAUAAAAAUAUUCAUCUUUUU